This 456-nucleotide ribosomal RNA is filed under the name uncultured bacterium. Its description in RNAcentral is "bacterial SSU rRNA". It matches the Rfam family "Bacterial small subunit ribosomal RNA", at positions 33 to 507 of the family's 1533-position model. The record is from RNAcentral.
ACGCUGGCGGCGUGCCUAACACAUGCAAGUCGAACGAGGUCCAUCCUUCGGGAGAAGACCUAGUGGCGAACGGGUGAGUAACACGUGAAGAACCUGCCCCGAAGACCGGGAUAACCCUCCGAAAGGAGAGCUAAUACCGGAUACCCCCACCGAACCGCAUGGUUUGGUGAGGAAAUGGAUUCCGCUUCGGGAGGGCUUCGCGGCCUAUCAGCUAGUUGGUGGGGUAACGGCCCACCAAGGCAUCGACGGGUAGCUGGUCUGAGAGGACGAUCAGCCACACUGGGACUGAGACACGGCCCAGACUCCUACGGGAGGCAGCAGUGGGGAAUCUUGCGCAAUGGGCGAAAGCCUGACGCAGCAACGCCGCGUGGGGAUGAAGGCUCUCGGGUUGUAAACCCCCUUCAGCAGGGACGAAUCAAGACGGUACCUGCAGAAGAAGCCCCGGCUAACUACGUG